GGGGGUGUAACUCAGUGGUAGAGUGUCUGCUUCGCGUGCAGAAAGUCCUGGGUUCAAAUCCCAGCUCCUCCA
This 72-nucleotide transfer RNA is filed under the name Schistocerca americana (American grasshopper). RNAcentral describes it as "tRNA-Ala". It matches the Rfam family "tRNA". From Rfam's summary of the family: Transfer RNA (tRNA) molecules are approximately 80 nucleotides in length. The record is from RNAcentral. Lineage: Eukaryota; Metazoa; Arthropoda; Insecta; Orthoptera; Acrididae. RNAcentral also lists the same sequence under 4 other names.